This 87-nucleotide transfer RNA is filed under the name Polaromonas sp. RNAcentral's name for it is "tRNA-Leu". It matches the Rfam family "tRNA". Rfam says of the family: Transfer RNA (tRNA) molecules are approximately 80 nucleotides in length. Lineage: Bacteria; Pseudomonadati; Pseudomonadota; Betaproteobacteria; Burkholderiales; Comamonadaceae. The record is from RNAcentral. RNAcentral also lists the same sequence under 1 other name.
GCGAGAGUGGCGUAAUCGGUAGCCGCAGCAGACUUAAAAUCUGCCGACCGAAAGGUCAUACGGGUUCAAGUCCCGUCUCUCGCACCA